ACUUAUAAAUAAAGAGAGAAGCUAUAAAUCAAAACCAUUGCUUUUAUCCAUAUUACAAGAUGAUGAGAAUGCUAAAGUGUUGGUUACAUCAAUAAAGAGUUUCUUUAGUGUCAGCACAAACACAAAUAUGUACUCAGUCAUUUCUCUUACCUACUUCAGUUGUUAUAAUAUUGUUAAUUGAUGAAUUGUCAUUGGAUUAGAAUGACAAAAUCAUUAGCUAGAGAUGAUUUUGUACCUAUGUCACUACCAGCAGAUAAUGGCAUGUAAGUGCUCUAAGCAUCAAUCUAUGUGUGCUUAGUAAGCAUAUUCUUUUAAAAAGAUUGCUGUAAAAGGUGGUGAGUCAUUUUCAAAUGCUUUUGUGUCAAGUGUUUGGUUGAGUAUGUGGUUAGAAUACUAAAAGGAGAAUUAACCUUAAAUAAUUCUGGGAAUCUUUAUUAAUGCUCAGGAUUCUAUACCUUAUAUUUUAGAAUAUGAAUUUACUAACAGUCAACUUCCUAAGAGGAAAAUAUUUAGACUGUUUUAUAUUUUAUAUUUGCUGAAUGUAUUUAAUUCUCACCUCUAAUGCCUAAUGAAGUUUCUUCAGCAACAAUGAAUGGUGCCUGGGUAAAUAGACACUGUUCAUGACAGGUGAAUGGCUUCCCACACAAAAAGAUCAAGAUAUAGCAAGAGGGGCAAGCAAUUUCAGAGAGGCAUGAUUAUACAUUAAGGGUGAUGUGUUUCUGCUGUCUAGCUUCUUCAAACAGAAGAAAUCUCUUGCACUAUGAAUCAAUGAAUGUAUAGCAGAAGUGUACCAGCCUUAAAAAAAAUCCUUUUAGGUUGAGUAGUAGUAGAUGGAUAUUCAUUUGCCAAAUGAAAGUGAAAUACCUGCUUUAUAUGGCUCUCUUGUGCAAUUCUGCUAAUAAUUGUAAAAUAGGGUCAUAUUUUUAAAAAGAGUAAGCCUGUUUUCUAGAACUUUUCAGUAUUAUUUAAUUGUCAUGUGAGUUUUGGUUCUUGUGAUUUCUUGUUCUGUUAUUGUCAUAUAAUUUUCUCCUACUUCCUUCCCUUGUUUGCAAGUCAUUGCUAGGUACCUUUAAGGAAACCUCUUAGAGGCUAAACACAGGAAGCCAUGUGUUUUUGGACUUUCAUCUUCCAAACCUGCAAGGUGUAUCAGCCGUUUUCCAUUGUAACUUCCCAACAUUAAGCAUUUUGUCAUGGCUGAAAGCCACAUAUUGAAUCAAGAUUGUAAUGGAGUGGUAUCCUCCGAGAUAGGGUGAGAUUAGCACAGGGCUGAAGAAAAAGAAAUGAUGAAUGUUAGAGAAGCUAACUGUAUUUAAACUGAUUGGAGCAUUACACAAUCGAUACACAUCAAAACAUCAAACUUUGAUGUUCAUUAGUAUGUACAGUGUUGUGUUUCUAAAAUUCAGUUAAAAUGAUUUCAUAAAAGAAAGGGAUGCAAAAUAUACUCAGGUAUAUUAAAAUUCUAAAAAUGUUUAUUUAAUCAGUGAUUUAUGGACCAGACAUCAUUGCAUUGCAACUAUUUGGUUUCCAGUAAAGAAACAGUUGAGGAUGCAUUUGAAAUGUAUCCAGGAAUGUGAAAGGAAGUUUUGAAUACUUAAGAUAGAAUGAUAGCAUUUUGAUUCCUAGUUAUUGAUGAGUUAAUACUUUCAGGCUUGUUAUUUCUGUUUCAUUUUUCUAGGAUAUGACUAUUCAGCCUAGAGGCCAACAUUGCUAUAACACUUUAAAACUAUUGCCUUCACAAUUAAUCAUUAUUAUUAAUACUUAAUUAAUAAAUACAGUGUCCUCUCCACUCCUCUGCCCUUUCUUUCCAGAAAAAGGCAGGCCUGCCAUGAUCAUCAACCAAGCUUGGCACAUAAAUUUGCAGUAAUGUAACUUUCUGGUAAAAAUAAAUGAUGUGUAAAUCAUUAUAAAGUUGCCAAAUGGCAUAUAAUAUGAAAGAUUAUGCUGGAGACUGUGUAGAACUAAUUGACAACAUUUCCAUGGCAAUUGCUAUAGUAACAUUAAGACUGGCAUUGAUGCCAAGAAAUCUGCAAAGGUUUAUUCGAAAGGAAAGCUAUAGAAUGCAAAUGAAAUUUUGGUGUUUUCGUGAGUGUAGGCUGAAGAGAAGAAAAAUUUUACAUUUUAAUAUCUACAUAAUACAUAUAUGUAUAUAACUUAAUACUAUAAUAAAAUAUAUUAAAAUAUCUGUUAAAACUUAAUCCUGACAACUUUAUCAAUAUUAAUUACCUCAUAUAAUCCUUUACAAGUCACAUUAUAUUUUCAUUUUGUAUUUUAAAGUGACUAUUAGACCUCUAACAUACAAAUCAAAUUACUGAAUUCAUAUUUGAAUCUGUAAAUCAUUUGUUUUUUAUAAUAUACUUUAAAAAUAUGUUCUGAGUGUCCUAAGAUGCCAUCUACAGAUCUGAAAGAUUCCUGUACUUUUUUAGACUCUAUUAUCAAAAAGAGCCACAUAGAGUUUCAAAUUUUCUUUAUUUAAACAAUUUUCUCAACGUAUGAGAGAAUUAGGUAUUACAUCAUUUAUUUUAAUAUUAAAAACACUCUAUUUUACAAAUUAGAGAAAAUAAGAAACUGAGGCAGAAAAAUUAGUGUCCAUAUGAAAUGUGUCCAUUUAGCAAGUAACAUAGCUAGUUAGAAUCACAAGUGUUACAUAUUAGCUAUACUUGUUUAUUCUGUAACCCAACUCAAAACUAUAAUACUGCAUCCUACCUGAAGCAUUUCUCAUCUUGUCUUGGUAAAGCUAAGGGAAUAUUAGAAUGGAUAAUAAAUAAGAACACUUAAUUAAUAGUCUAUUAGCUUCCUGUCCUGCACUUAGUUAUGAGAGAAGAACUGUGUGGUUUAAAACAAUAACAUAUUCAGUCGUACAAUUGGAGAAUCAAAUCUGACUUUCAUGGCUUUCAAAGUUUGGUCUUUCCACUGACAAAUUCUAGACCUUGGGUACAUCUAAUUCCUCCUUAUUUGUGUCACAGUAGACUCUCUGCCAUGUUCUCCCUUUCUGUGUGUCAACUUUAACAGAGUUGGUUACAGUGGGUUCCCUGUUAAUGGAACGCCACCCCACUUCGGUGGGAUUAAAUGUUUUUAACUAUUUUAUUUUCAAGUAAUGUCAGGAAUUCAUUUCUCAAAGUUGGAAUCAAUCAUGGCCUUUAAAAAGAUAUAACCCAGCUCACCUAUUGUUGAAUCACUUUCCAAUUCUGUUAAGCAAACACUUUUCUUUCCAUUACUU
Molecule: long non-coding RNA, 3217 nt
Filed under: Mus musculus (house mouse)
Lineage: Eukaryota; Metazoa; Chordata; Mammalia; Rodentia; Muridae
Description: long non-coding RNA chr15:16751432-16754649
Source: RNAcentral